RNAcentral lists this microRNA precursor (165 nucleotides) under Oryza brachyantha (malo sina). RNAcentral's name for it is "MIR812 microRNA precursor family". It matches the Rfam family "MIR812 microRNA precursor family", at positions 27 to 194 of the family's 205-position model. Lineage: Eukaryota; Viridiplantae; Streptophyta; Magnoliopsida; Poales; Poaceae. The record is from Rfam by way of RNAcentral.
UUCACUUUUUACUCUUCGUCUUAUUUAAAAAAAUAUUAUUAAUACUUUUCUUUUUAUUAGAUGAUAAAUCAUGAAUAGUACUUUAAGUGUGACUAUUUUUUUAAAAAAAUUUUAAAUUUUUUUAAAUAAGACGGAUGGUCAAACGCUGGACACGAAAAACAAAAG